This 1665-nucleotide ribosomal RNA is filed under the name Salmonella enterica subsp. enterica serovar Anatum. RNAcentral's name for it is "partial 23S ribosomal RNA". It matches the Rfam family "Bacterial large subunit ribosomal RNA", at positions 690 to 2336 of the family's 2925-position model. The record is from RNAcentral. Lineage: Bacteria; Pseudomonadati; Pseudomonadota; Gammaproteobacteria; Enterobacterales; Enterobacteriaceae.
GGGCGUUAAGUUGCAGGGUAUAGACCCGAAACCCGGUGAUCUAGCCAUGGGCAGGUUGAAGGUUGGGUAACACUAACUGGAGGACCGAACCGACUAAUGUUGAAAAAUUAGCGGAUGACCUGUGGCUGGGGGUGAAAGGCCAAUCAAACCGGGAGAUAGCUGGUUCUCCCCGAAAGCUAUUUAGGUAGCGCCUCGUGAAUUCAUCUCCGGGGGUAGAGCACUGUUUCGGCUAGGGGGCCAUCCCGGCUUACCAACCCGAUGCAAACUGCGAAUACCGGAGAAUGUUAUCACGGGAGACACACGGCGGGUGCUAACGUCCGUCGUGAAGAGGGAAACAACCCAGACCGCCAGCUAAGGUCCCAAAGUCAUGGUUAAGUGGGAAACGAUGUGGGAAGGCCCAGACAGCCAGGAUGUUGGCUUAGAAGCAGCCAUCAUUUAAAGAAAGCGUAAUAGCUCACUGGUCGAGUCGGCCUGCGCGGAAGAUGUAACGGGGCUAAACCAUGCACCGAAGCUGCGGCAGCGACACUGUGUGUUGUUGGGUAGGGGAGCGUUCUGUAAGCCUGUGAAGGUGGCCUGUGAGGGUUGCUGGAGGUAUCAGAAGUGCGAAUGCUGACAUAAGUAACGAUAAAGCGGGUGAAAAGCCCGCUCGCCGGAAGACCAAGGGUUCCUGUCCAACGUUAAUCGGGGCAGGGUGAGUCGACCCCUAAGGCGAGGCCGAAAGGCGUAGUCGAUGGGAAACGGGUUAAUAUUCCCGUACUUGGUGUUACUGCGAAGGGGGGACGGAGAAGGCUAUGUUGGCCGGGCGACGGUUGUCCCGGUUUAAGCGUGUAGGCUGGUUUUCCAGGCAAAUCCGGUUCACUUUAAAACUGAGGCGUGACGACGAGGCACUACGGUGCUGAAGCAACAAAUGCCCUGCUUCCAGGAAAAGCCUCUAAGCAUCAGGUAACAUCAAAUCGUACCCCAAACCGACACAGGUGGUCAGGUAGAGAAUACCAAGGCGCUUGAGAGAACUCGGGUGAAGGAACUAGGCAAAAUGGUGCCGUAACUUCGGGAGAAGGCACGCUGACACGUAGGUGAAGUGAUUUACUCACGGAGCUGAAGUCAGUCGAAGAUACCAGCUGGCUGCAACUGUUUAUUAAAAACACAGCACUGUGCAAACACGAAAGUGGACGUAUACGGUGUGACGCCUGCCCGGUGCCGGAAGGUUAAUUGAUGGGGUCAGCGCAAGCGAAGCUCCUGAUCGAAGCCCCGGUAAACGGCGGCCGUAACUAUAACGGUCCUAAGGUAGCGAAAUUCCUUGUCGGGUAAGUUCCGACCUGCACGAAUGGCGUAAUGAUGGCCAGGCUGUCUCCACCCGAGACUCAGUGAAAUUGAACUCGCUGUGAAGAUGCAGUGUACCCGCGGCAAGACGGAAAGACCCCGUGAACCUUUACUAUAGCUUGACACUGAACAUUGAGCCUUGAUGUGUAGGAUAGGUGGGAGGCUUUGAAGCGUGGACGCCAGUCUGCGUGGAGCCGACCUUGAAAUACCACCCUUUAAUGUUUGAUGUUCUAACGUGGACCCGUGAUCCGGGUUGCGGACAGUGUCUGGUGGGUAGUUUGACUGGGGCGGUCUCCUCCUAAAGAGUAACGGAGGAGCACGAAGGUUGGCUAAUCCUGGUCGGAC